This is an RNA transcript of Rhododendron vialii, 4810 nucleotides long. RefSeq lists it as uncharacterized. The transcript has 7 exons. The record is from RefSeq and is a predicted model, not a curated record. Lineage: Eukaryota; Viridiplantae; Streptophyta; Magnoliopsida; Ericales; Ericaceae.
UGUUUUGGGAUUUGGGUUCAUCAGUUUCUUUUUGUUAAGUUGGUUAGUAUGUUGGAAUUUUUUUAUUUUUUUUGGGAGGGGGGUUAACCUUGGGGUAUUUCCUUAGGGUGGAGAUGGUGUUGGGAUCAUCUGUCCCCUUGCUUUUGAUUCCAGGUACUAUGGUUUCCAUAAUAUAAACCAUCAUGAAGUUCAAGAAGGGGAGUAAAGUAGAGGUUAUGAGCAAAAAGGAGGUGCCGGUCUCAUGGCGCUGUGGUGAAAUCAUAUCUGGUAAUGGACAUACUUACAGUGUCAAGUAUGAUUGUUAUCCAGGCUCAAUUGGUGAUGCUGUAGUAGAGAGGGUGUCUAGAAAGGCUAUCAGGCCUUGUCCUCCUUUUGAAGGUUUUGAGAGUUUUGUGGUUGGUGAUGUUGUGGAGGUUUUCGAUAGCAUGUCAUGGAAGAUUGCUAGAGUCUUGAAGGUUUUGGAUAGGGAUCAUUAUUUGGUGAGGCUACUUGGAAUUCCACAGGAAUUCAGAAUCCACAAAUCAAGCAUCAGGGUCCGCCAAUCUUGGCAAGACAACAAAUGGGUGGUGAUUGGAAAGGGCUCUGGAAGAUGUGAUGAUGUGAAAUCUAACAAGCUAUCAACUCCAAGUUGUUAUCAGAAGACAAGGUUCCAAAUGCUGAAAGGUGGAGAUGAUCACUUUGCUGUUCGGGAGAAUGCUGGACAACAGGAAUCUCAUAUGAUCCCUACUAGAGCACUGAAGAGAGAAUCUCCUUACCACUCCUCUAUUCUUGAUGGAUGUACCGGACAUGCUAGAAAAUUAAGAGCAAUUGAGAAAGAAGGGAGGCUUCAGAGAUUUGUUCCAGCCCCAUUACAAGAAAAAGUAGAUGCUGUUGCCAACCCACAAGAAAAUAUGGGUGAAAAGUACAUGCAUUCUUCCUCUAUGAAUAAAUCAAACGGACAUAUUGAAGUGGAGAGGGCGGAUUCUGAUAGUGAUGAAUGUUCUGUUUGUAGUUGUAGUGUUAAUAGCGGGGGUCCAAAUAAGUUUCCGAGUCACUUUGUUGCAGGUCGUUGUCAAGUUUCAGAUUCCCUUUCUAGUGAUGCAGAAUCUUCUUAUGGCUUGGGAAAUCAGGAAAACUCUCUAUAUCCUCCAGAAGAGGAAGUGGCAGCAAGUAUCCAUAGAUUAGAGUUGCAUGCAUAUCGCUGCACUCUAGGAGUCUUGUAUGCUUCUGGCCUCUUAAGUUGGGAGCAAGAAGCACUGUUGACAAAUCUCCGGAUUAGUCUACGCAUUUCCAACGAUGAACAUUUGUUGGAGCUGAAGAAUUUAAUUUCUGCUGGAAAUGGGCUACAGUUGGAUGCAUGCAUCUUUGCUUCCAAAGGCCUAAUGAUGAUUGCAUGAUGCUGGGGUUGAAGCCUACCUCUUCCCCUAAACUGUGGGAUAGCAGAAUCCACUCCCUUCCAAAUAAGCCUAUUCAUGCUGAUUCACUUAUUCCAGCGGCUAUACUCGUUGAGCAAUAUCUGAUUCUGGCCAUUUUUUGGAUUGUCAAGAUACCUUCUGCGGAAGAAAGAUAAACCAGGCAUUUGGAAAAGCCACCUUAUUAUUGACGUGGAAGGGCUGUCAUUUUAGGGAAAGUAAAGUUAUACCAUUCAAAUAAUACGCAGAAUCUUUGUCCAGUGGCCACAAAGAUUUGGAGUAUCCUGUUUUCACUUGUUAGUAUGGCUUGGAUAAUGCUAAGCUUGGUGAGGAAACUUCUUGCUGGUUUCCAUAGAGUAUGUAUGGCAUGGGGUAAGAGGAACUACGAAGGCGUAGAAGGUAGCUCCUUUAUACAUUAUAGAGGUGUGUUUGGAAAGAAAGGAAUUGCAGGACCUUUGAUGGCAAGAUCUCCAUUUGUGUUUUGAAAGGACUUGUUUAGCUUUUUUGUCUGAGAGGAGACUUGCCUUUCACCUUGAACUCUUUCGUGGAUGUUUUAGCAGUGGUACAUUCUUGUUGAUAUAGUGCAAUUGUUUUUUGUUUCGUUUCCUUGUAUGUUCAGUGCACAAGGUUGUGCCUUCUAAGUUCUGGUACUUAUUAAUUUUUUGCCUUUAACUUAUAAACAAAAAGUGUGGAAGUUGUAUUAUGAUUUGUCAACAAUUUGGUGGAUACAAUUUUAAAUUUCUUGUAUUUUUGUGUAAAUAAAUUCCAUGGAGAAGAAUUUUUAGGUUUCAAGGGAUGAAAACUCGGACACCGACAAGGACACGGAUACAGACUCGGGAGACAAGAAUUUUGAAAAAAUGGAGACUCAAACACUGUGCGUGUCAUGGAAAUAAAUAUUUAUAGAUUCUUUAUGCUUAUUCAGUUAUCAUUUACUUAUUUACACAAGUACUGUAUCUAGAAACAACCAAAACUAAUAUUAUACUGUGCAAUUCUUACAUUUCAUCUUUUAAAUAUAAUAAUAUAAACGAAGGUUUUAUCAGGUUGAUAUCUAUGUUUUUGUAAUCUGUACCUUACAUUUUUUAAAUAUCGUAAUUUAUUUUCCAACAUCAGGCUUUACGUUUGCAAAUUGACCCAUGUUGUUUCACCACCUGUGUUUAAGUUGAGACGUGUGUGCCCGAUGUCCUCUGUUCAGGAUUAGUAAGAUGAAUUGGAUGGACCACCCGGCAUGUUCCAUAUGUUUCCUGAGGUGUAAUGUGGCCCUGGCAUGUCUGCCAUGGAUACAACCACCAGUUAGGUCUGUCAUGCUUCAUAGUUAGGAAGAAUGUGAAGGAGGCAGGUCUUGGUUCUUCUAGGAAUAAGCAUGUCCACCGCUAGGCUUGAUGGGCUACAGUUGAAUCAAGAACCCAACGAUACCCAAGGCCUCAACUUGCUUGGGCAAGAGAGUUGACUACAUCAAAGGGAGUGAAUUGGUAGUAUCGAGGAAGGAAAAUUUGGGUAGCUGCAAAAAGGAAAGAUGCAAUAAGGUGUGGGGAUUUGUUAGAUUGCUCUUGGAGAAAACCUAGUGUUCUGCUUUCAAAGGAGAUGGAGAAAACAGCAUUGAGAAUGGGUCUGAGGUUGAGAAAAUUUCUGUUUUCCCUUGACAAAUUUUGAGGAUGAUGCUUUUUUCGAAGAAGGUGAAACAAAUGGGAAAAUAAAGGCCUGGGUUGUAUACUUGUAUGGAAAUUCGGCAAGAAUGUGAGGGAGAGAGAAACAAUGCAACAAAGUGUUAACAUAACUUGUGAGAAUGGGGCGAUGAAGUUGUGAGAUGUGGAGGGGGUUUAUUGACCGUUGUCUGUGUACUUUGUGCUUGGAUGGGACAACCUUUUUUGUGGUUAAUUCUUUUCUUUUCCCUCUUUUGUGAUAAAUUAUUUUUCUUCCUUUUUUUGGGACCUUUUCUAUAUAAGGGUGGUGCCCUUGGCAUGUCCAAUGCUUGGAAGAAAGGAUGGCUCUGUGUUCAUGUCAUCAUUUAAGGUUGUAUGGAAUAUGCACAUACAUUACCUACGUGCAUAUAUGUAAAGAUAUUUAGAAAUGAAAACAGGGAUGGUAGGGGUAGUAGCACUGAUGGAAGAUAAGAUGGGAGAAAAUAGAUUAAGGUAGUUUGGACAUGUGACUCUAUAGUAGAUCAGUCGAUGCAGUAAUUAGGAGGAGUGAUAUGGUUACAAUGGAUGGUAGCUCUAAGGAGAGGAGUAAGACACCAAAAUUUAUUUUAAGGCAGUAAUUUGAAAAAGACUUAGAUUCCUUGGAUAUCUCGGAACACGAUGCCCUUGAUAGAGCUUAUUGGGAACGGAUUCAUGUAGCCUACCCUAAUUGUUUGGGGCCUUAAGGCUCGGUUUGGUUUGGUAUGGUUUGUGUGUGUUCAUAUAUAUUCAUGUGGAUAAUAACCUGAACUACUUCCAAAUUUGCAGUGUUCUUGCAUUACUAGUCUUGUCUUUGGGAGCAUGGGAUUUCCAUGGAGCAUGUUCCUUCAAAGUGCACUGUCAUCGAAGUGUUUUAAAUACAUAAGUAGGAAAUAUGAGUUUCUCUAAGUUUUCUCCUAGUAUGUUUGCAUCGGUGGUUAUGAACAGGCAAAGUUAGAGGUCUUUUCGAGAAACAGGUGUGCGAUUAAGGUACGGGACUAUUGGGGAACAGGAAUGUGCUUGACUAGUUAUAAAUUGGGAAAAAUGUUAGACUUCAAGAGAGAGAAAACAAAAUCUGAGAUUUUAUGUUCUUAAGAUGAGUGUGGAGGCAUUAUGAUUUACCAGAAAAUUCCUUAUUUUCCCAGGACUUUGGACUGGCAAUGCUUGAUCGCUAGCUUCUACCAGAUUCUGCACCUCUUCGGAUUCAUUUCUGGGGGCUGCUCAACCACAGAUGUUUUUAAAGCCAAGGAUGAGGGUGAAGAAGACUAAAGACUAAAUUCUCUCAUGAUUUUAGAAGAAAUAGAACAGAAGAAACAAAUAAGAUGAGCUAUUGACUCGAUGGUCGCCUGCAAAUGUAGUGCAAGAAGAGUCGAAGACAACCACCAAGCUGCUGAUUUCAAACACAAACAGAUUAUGACGAACGAGGGAAAACAAGGCGGAAGUCAUCAUCAUUAUCCUUGCAAUUUUCCGCCAAUUUGUGUCGGUGUGUAUUUAAGGUUGUGUUCGGAUCCUGAAUUUGUCGAUGCAUUUAUGGCGGAAAAGGCAAAUAUGAUGAAAAAAGAUAAAGUUAUAAUUAAGUGAGAAGCUAAAUUUAACUUGUCCAAAGGAGCGGGGAAUGAGAAAGUGGUGGCAAGCAUAAUUGUGGGAUUUGAAGUUGGGCGAGACCGUGAGAGAGUAGUUAUAGCAGGAAACUUUCUGUGUUAUUUUCGCUGUUUCACCCAAGAGAUGGAUUACCUUGUGAAUUUGAACUUGAACUUCUUAUAG